CGCAUUGCUGAAAAGUGCUCUUGCGUAAGGACGUUCGACUUCUGUGGAGCCCAGGUGAGAAAGGCCCUCCUGUGUCCCGGUUGAGGGUCUUCAGGGUUCUUUGGGGCCAGAGAGUCUUCCUCUGUCACCCAGGCUGGAGUGCACUGGCACAAUCUCAGCUCACUACAACCUUUGCCUCCUGGGUUCAAGCGAUUCUCCUGCCUCAGCCUCCUGAGUAGCUGGGACUACAGGAUUCCUGAAAUCAUGGAUCACCCACAUACGCUUUGAGACAUGCUUCUUUUUUUUUUUUCUGGAAGCCCUGUGACUUCCCUAAAAAUUGAGUGAAUAAUUAUAGAACAGAUUACGGCCAAUGGUGGCAGAGUCUACAUAGAACUAUGCUUCGUGGUGUUCUGGGGAAAACGUUUCGACUUGUUGGCUAUACUAUUCAGUAUGGCUGUAUAGCUCAUUGUGCUUUUGAAUACGUUGGUGGUGUUGUCAUGGUUGCCAGGUCUGGUCUUGAACUCCUGGUCUCAAGUGAUUCUUCCAAAAUUUUGGGAUUACACAUGUGAGCCACCAUACCUGGCCAUGAAAAUCUUUAAAGUCCAUCUCAUCAUGCUAGUAUUUUUCAGAAGAAAAUUUAAGUGGCAGCCCCAUGAAGAUGUUCUGGACCAUCAAUGGAGCCUACAAUUCAAAAUUCAGAUAUUGUCUUUGCAGAAAACCUUAGUCGACAUUUUUAUGGUAUCCAAAGGUAAAUUCCAGUCAUGGAUAUAUUAAAUUUACAGUGAAAAUACACAUACACAUGAUACCUUUUCUGCAGUUCCUUAAGUUUAUCUUUAAAAACUCUCAUAAAUAACCAUAUUAAUGAUGAGCUCGAUAAAAUUUUGAGUCAAAUAUUUUCUUUCAGUUUGAGAAAUGGUUAAUAGUUUCUCAAACAUACAAUCUCUUGGGUUAUUGUAUUUCUUGUAUCAUUGUAAAAACUAAUUAGCAGUCCCUUACAAUAUACGUGUAAACUUGACUUUUUUUUAAUUGGGUUUUAGAAGGUUUUGAGUUAAGCAUUAGGAACUUAGGGAUUACAUUAAAUAUCCACUGUUUUUGUUCUUUAAUUUUAAAAGUAAUCCUGUAGUUCUAUUGAUUGCUGUCUUACUUAUUCUCUAUAUAUGGCCUAUGAUGAGCAUGUGAUGAUUUUAAUUUUUAAAAAAUUUUCUGAUACACAUUUUUUGAGAUGGGGUCUUGCUUUGGCUCCCAGACUGGAGUGCAGUGGUAUGAUCUCAGUUCCCUGCAGCCUCAAUCUCCUGGGCUCCAGUGACCCUCCCCCUCAGCCUCCCAAGUAGCUGUGACUACAUGUGUAUACCACUGUGCCCAGCUAAUUUUUGUAGUUUUUGUAGAGACUGGGAUUUGCCAUUUUGCCCAGGCUGGUCUCGAACGCCUAAGCUCAAGCAAUCAAUCGACUCACCUAAGCCUCCCAAAGUCUAGGUAUUACAGGUAUGAGCCACUGUGCCCAGCCCAUUUGAUGUUUUUAGAUUGCAUUAUUGUAUAUGGCUGACAACCAGGAAUUUUAUAUAUUAUGAGUCUCCUGAUUAAUUAUAUUAAGUUGAAUAAUUCCUGGGCAAAUAUUGUUUGUCACUAAACCUUUUAAAAUCCUAUUUCAAAUGGUGGUUCCAAUCCUUGUGAUACCCAUUAUUCUAAUUAACUCCAUGAGAAUGAUUUCUUCCAAAUGAAUGUCAAGUAUUAAUAAUUUAUUUUCUAAAGAGCAUCUCUCUGACAUCCUAAAAUUUUGAGUCCAUUUGUUUUUUAUAAUUCUGAAAAAAAUCUAUGCCAGCUUUUAUUUCAGUAAACUACAACUUUGAUUCUCUUGAGCUAGUAUUUAGUUUAUGGCAUAAUAAGCAGGUUUAGGCACUUUUCUUUCACUAUUCACCUUUGCUAUAACCUGUUUCACAUUAUUAAAAAUCAUGAAGAAUAGUGUAUAAACUGUUCUUCACAUUUACUGAUCUUUCACCAUCCUUAGAUUCUGCAGAUAGAAACUCUUGAUCAAGCUAUAUGGUUUGGCAUGCUCCGUAGAGGUGACAUUGUGAUUGCAAAAAGCCCAAGUGAUCCAAAAUCAAAUAUUUGUAAAAGAGUAAUUGGUUUGGAAGGAGACAAAAUCCUCACCACUAGUCCAUCAAAUUUCUUUAAAAGCCAUAGUUAUCUAGAAAAAGUGCAAGGACAGUAAAAUGGAAGAAUGAAGAGUAGAUAAAAUGCAUUAGCUCCUUUCACCAAUCAUGUGGCUUCUGUAACAGAGCUUCUCUGGAAGAGGUGGCCUUUUGUUUACUCCACAUAUAUUCUUCUUACUUUAAUAAUUAUAGCUAAAUUUUCUACCUUACUGUAAAUCUUCUGUUGCUAUCAAAUUAUUAAUGCAGCUGUUUGUUAACUAACAUUAUCUCUGUAUUCAUCCUCAAUGUAAACACAUAACUGAAUAAUUACAUUGCCAGUGUAAAUUUAUUUUGAACCAUAAUAGCCUCUGAUUGCCCUAUAAGUAAGUUUGAUCAAUAGACUGUUAAAUAAUCAAUUAUUUAUUUACCAUCUGUAAUCGACUACGGUUCAACUGUGCAAGUGUUUUUGAUGUUUAUUAUGCAUUUACAAUGCUAAAUACACAGUAAUUGUUAGCUUAUGGUGAUAACAGUGUUAAAGAUGAUAGUGUGCUGUCAGAUAACAUUUUUCUACCAUUGCUUUCAUCAUGGACACUGUAUCCUCUUCUUAAAUAAUGUUGGAUUUUCCAUAUAGUUCACCUUCAUAUGACUAUUAGCAUUUCCUAAGAUAUUCUAGUCACUUCUACAUUGCUUUAGCAACAUGUAUGUACUUGAAACCAGAACUGGUAUCAACAGACAGAACAACAGAACAAAUACAUAACAUCCUCUAGGUACUUAACACCAUAUCAUUGUUACUGUUGAUUUUUUUUAAGAGUUAUUAGAGGUGGAUGUCAGUACCAAAGGAUUCAGAUAAAGUCUCUGCUAAAUUACCAGAGCAUAUAACCAGCACUGUAAGAUGUAAAUUUUUUAAAGUUCUAUUAGAGGAAAAUAUUCUUUGAGUUUUGUUUUUGAUUUUAAUUAACACAUAAUGGUUGUACAUUAUUUAUGGAGAAAUAGUAUGAUGUUUUAAUAUGUAUAUACAUUGUAUACAAAUGAAAUUAGGACAUUUAGCAUAUCCAUUACCUCAUACAUUUUUUGUUUGCUUAUAGUGAGAACAUUCAAAAUCCUCUUUCAGCACUUUUUUUUUUUUUUUUUUUUUUGACAGGGUCUUGCUCUGUUGCCCAAGCUGGAAUGCAGUGCUACAAUCUCAGCUCACUGCAACCUCCUCCUACAGGGCUCAGAUGCUCCUCCCACAUCAGCCUUCUGAGUUGCUCUUUCACUUGUUUUGAAAUAUACAAUACAAUAUUGUUAACCAUAAUUACCCUACUGUGCAGUAGAACACUAGUAGGGUAUUCUAUUACUGAGUUUUUAUGUUUGAUAAAUGUACAAAUUAGAUAACAAUUGCCAUUUUGUUCCGGGUAUAUCCCAUUCACUUUUGUUGGACACCUUUCUAAGUUUACAAUACAUCAUUCUAAUAAUUUUGGUCAGCACUUAUUUUAUACUUCCUCCAUACUGUUGAGAAUCUUUUCAAAGGUUAACUUAUUUAAUUAUUACAACAGCAACCCAGUGAGGUAGGUAAUACUAAUAUUUUACUGAUAGGUAAUCAAAAAAAGAGGCUAAAUAAAUUGCCCAAUUUCAAACAGUAAGAGGAAGAAUGAGGAUUGAAAUACAAAUAGUGGCUUUAGAAUCUGUAAUCCUCACCAUGCCACUACUACUUCUUUCAGAAUACCCUCUGCCUAUCUAUUCUGUUCCCAUCUCAUCAAAUUAUACUUACUUUAAAAUGUAUUUGUGUUUAUUAUUUAAAAAAAAAAAACAAAGGGAAGUAUUUCUGAUCAGGUGCAGUAUUGGUUUUGAAAGAGGCCAGUGUUUUUGAGAGUUUCUCCCUUGCCAGUUUUUCUAGGCUGGGUUAUUCAAGUGAUAAGAAUUGUGUAGCUAGUACAGAACCACUUUAGCAAAUGUGUUCCAUAAAUCAAGGUGAUUUAUAACAAUAUUUCAUCCAAGUUUGGAGUGCUUUGAAAAGAUAGCCAAAAUGUUUCCAGGGUCUCCUUCUUGUGUGUGUGUCCCUUUUUUCAGCUAUCUCAGAAGCACACUGGUGCUAUUUUAUGAAAUAAGUGUCUUCUCUUACCUCUGCAUCCUCUUAGAAAACGUAUUUUUUUAUGAGAUGAAGAUAUUACUAUUCAUAUCUUGAUUGAGCUGCUUAAUAAAAUGAAUAUUAAAAUAUGUUUUGAAUUCCAGGCAAAAAAAGUUUAUUCUUGUAUAUAAAUGCUUCAGAAAGCAAAGCGCUAAAUUGUUCAUUGGAACCUAGCCUGUAGAGUUUAGCAUAUCAAAAAAGUAGUAUUGUUGGUAGGUUGGCAGAAAAUAAUAUAAACAAACCAUUGGUUAAGUGAUAUAGUGAUGUGGGAUCAUUUUAUUCAUUCCAGAGUUCCUUUUUGUUUGUUUGUUUUCCAUUCCAGAGUUUUAAAAGACCACAUAGCAAUCAGUCUUAUAAUUCAGCUUUAUUUUUUGCUGUUAGGUAUUUGGAAACUAAGUAGUCCCUAUUAAGAUGCUAUAUGCUAUUGCUGUGGGUUUUGCUUACUGUGAGGGUACUGAAGCCGAUAAUUCUUUCCUGGGGUUAUGAACUGAGCACUGGCUACUGUAAGGAUAUGAGAUUAAUUUGUGACUCUCAAAAAAAAAAAAAAUUAUCAUGAGCUCAAACAUCUUGAGUACCUUGCCUUUCUCUGUAUGCUACAGGAAUUUCUCAGUUUCCUGCCAGAAUCCACUACUUUAUCAGAAAAAAUAAUUUAGUUGGAAGUAGUAGCAUGUAGCAAAUAAGAAAUAAACAAUGAAUUGGCAUUCUCAUAUCAGUUUGCACAGCAGGCAAAAUGCAAAGUAAACCUCUAAUUUAGUCUUCAAUCCCUUAGGGAGGCCAGGGCUCAGAAAAACACUAAAAUUUUGUUAUAAAGCCACUUAUGAAGAAAAGUACUUUAUAAUGUUUAUUAGGAUAAUAUUGUAUGAUAAUCCAGGACUAUGCUUUUAAUCCAUGGGGUAAUUGGAAUAGUUAGGCAUUUUGAAAUAUAGUAAAUUCCUAUCAAAAAACAUGUUGUAAAAUCUACAUCUAAAUAAACUCCCUCAAUACCACAUCCUCCUAUAGGGAAGAGUUGUGUGUAGUUACUCCACUCUGAGCUUCCUAUUAUUUUUGUGAACUCAUUCCAGUUAGGCUUUGGUCUCCACCACUUCACUGAUGGUUCUUGUCCAAGUCCCCAGUGAUUUCUCUUGUCACUCCAGUGAUCAACUCUCAGUCCUCAUCAUACUUAAGCUAUUGUUAGUAUUUGAAAUAAUUAUUCUCAAAACCUGGUGUCACUUAUUUUUAGAACACUGCUCUUUCUAGGUUUUUUCCCUAUCUUUCUGACUGCUGCUUCUGAAUUUACUUUAUUGGUUCCUCCUCAUAUCCAAACAUUGGAAUGUUCUUCAAAUCUUGGAGUUAACUAAAGGUUCAUAUUUUAAACUUCUGUUGUUUAUAUACACUUACACUUUAGCUGACCUCAUCCUGUCUCAUGGUUUUAAGUACAGUACUUUUAAAUUUACUCUCAAAUUUAUAUCAACUAUAACCUUUUCCCUCAACUCCAGAAUCAUGUCUAAUUGUCUGAUAUCUUCAUUUCAAAGAAUAAUGGUCAUCUCAAACUUACUGUAUCCAAAACUAAAAUCCUGAUUUUCUUUCCCAAACUGGCUCCUUCUGUACACUUCCCAAUCACAGUAAAGAAUUAAUAAGGAUAUCCUGGACUUGAACUCAGAUCCGGAGCAAGUAAACUUAAUAAACAUUUAUAGAACUCUCCACUUAAAACGUAGAAGAUAUGCACUCAUAUCAGUACCACAUCACACCUACUCACAGGUUUAAAUGAAAUAUUGGUUGGCCGUUAUUAAGCACGAUUGAUGGUAUAAGGGAGGUUUUCAAUACCCAUUUUUAGACUGCAUUCUAGCCUGGGCAACUAAACAAUACUCCCGUUCUCUCUCCCUCCUCCUCUUCCUCUUUUUUCCUCUUCUUCAUUCCUUUUUUUCUCUUUCUUCCUUUCAAAAAAAAAAAAAAUUACUUUCUUUCUCUGUCACUCUACAUCCAGUCCCUUAGCAAAUCAUGAUUAAACCUUUUAUAUAUAAUCAGAAUCAAGCCACAUUUUGCCACUGUCACUGCUACCCUCCAUUAGUUUGCAAGGUAAACUCGUCUGUCUCAUGUUGUUGCAGUAGUUUCUGAACUGCUUUCUUUGCUUAUACCCUUCCCCUUUUCUUGCUUCUCUAACCCUUCCGUUGAUAUUCUCCACACAGCAACUAAGGUCAUCCUUUUUGAUGACGAUGCUUUUUAAGAGCAAUUAUGUCACUCUUCUGCUCAAAGACUCCAGUGGUUCCCCAUCUCAUAAUAAAAGCCAUAGGUCUUACGGUGGCCUGCAAGACCCUGCAUAAUCAUUUUCCCUGCUGCCUUUCUUGUAAUUAUUGUGUCAUUGGAACACAAUCAUCCCCAUUAAUUUAUCUGUUGUCUGUGUUUGCUUUCUUUAAAAUGUCAGAGUUGAAUAGUUGUGACAGAAACUAUAUGGCUUGCGACGCCUAGACUAUUUCCUAUCUGGCCCUGUACAGAAAAAGUUUGCUGACCCCUUGAUCUAGAGUGUAAGAUUCUUGGUGACAGGGACUCAUUUUGAUCACAGUUGAUUUCCUAUCAUUUCAGCUGUGAUUUGGCAGCUAUUAGAUAUUUUUUAAAUACUUGAAGGGUAGACAGAUCUAGGUAUAUAUGAAUAGGUUGCUAGUUUCUUUUCUACUUCUACUCAUUUUUUCUACUAGUUUCUAUUGCAAACUUGCUCCCAAGUAAAUGCAUGCUGUUACGACUUCUCAGAAGAUGUUCCUGGAGCCUACCACACUGCUGAACUGGCCAAUCUGUGGUCAUUCUAGUCUUCCUAGACUUCAAAGCUAAGCUAUUUCCAAUGGUAAGACUACCUGAUCACCUUACAAAGUGGCAGGUGAAAAUUGUACAAAAUUUUGGAAUGUUCCUCUUACUGUGUACCAGAACAGCAGAGUGCUGAUUAAAUGUUUCUUUUCCUAAGUAACUUGUAUUUAGGACGGUAUAUUUUUCAGGCCUUUCAUUAAGCAGAAUAAAAAUUUACCAGGCUCUGAAUUGACUUAUCACCAUAGAAUAUUGAAUUUAGUUAAGAUUAAGUUUCUUAAAGUAUUAGGGGAAUUGAGCUAUUCUGGGCUUACCUUAUUCUCAUUUUAAAGGAAGCUUUGGUGACCCUGAAAUGCUAUGGUGGUUUUAUUGCAAUGAAGGCUAUUACCCUUGCAACACUCAUUGCCUACUAAUUAGGUUGCAUAGCAAUAAGAAUUUCUGCAUUUCUGUAGAGAUACAUGUGCCUUUUGAACAUAUUUAACUAUUAUACAGAUAUUUUCUUUUGGUCCUUUUAUUGGUUGACAGCCUAAGGAUGGGUAAAAUUGUUACCUGGAGUUUAUAAAUGUCUCCUUUUAGUGUACACUGCUGCUUUUCUCUGGUUGUUCAUUGUAAAAUGAAGAAUCAUUUUUAAAAUUUCAGUUAAAACCUUAUUUAUUGAAUUUUU
This is a non-coding RNA of Callithrix jacchus (white-tufted-ear marmoset), 7651 nucleotides long. NCBI's taxonomy places the organism in Eukaryota, Metazoa, Chordata, Mammalia, Primates, Cebidae. The record is from RefSeq and is a predicted model, not a curated record.